CCCCCCACCCCCCCCCAGCUCCUUGUGCCCCCCCAGCCCACUCGCUGGUGGGGUGAGAGGCAGAAAAGGCCUUGGCUCCGCGUGAGCCCUGCUCGGCAGUAACUAAAACAGCCCCCUGUUAUCAAGGCUGUUCUCACCCCAAAUCCAAAAUGUAGCACUGUGCCAGCUACUAGGAAGAAAAUUAACUCUAUCCCAGCUGAAACCAGCACAAAAAUGAAAAGGGUGGGGAUACCAAUUGCCUUCUGAAGGGCAAAGGGUGGUUGAGGAGGAUGGUGGCUGAAGGAACAGGCUGCAAUUGAAUUUGGGUUUUCAGGGAUGCAGCAAGCUUGGGGUUUCUUUUCUUUUUAGUACGUUGUAUGCUGUGGUUUCCUGGCUGGUAUCAGCAUUACUACACUGAGAGGCUGUUUGCUGUCUGGGUACUUGCCAGGUGAUAAAAAUGUUACAGCAGGACCAAAAAAUUUCAACAGUGUUACGGGAAUCACUUUGUGACCUCUAGGUCAAAACUCCCUUCCAACACAGCUGUGCCGGGGCGGUGAGGUGAAACGGGACCUGCCAAGGACAGGGCUUAGCUCCCUGGCCACCCCGGGUGCGGACCUUGGAUCUAUUUUAAGCUUUGAACCUCUCCGCCGUGCCAGUGAUGAGCAGCACGACCUCUGGGAAAAGAUUGACCAGACACGCUUACUAGUCCUGUAGACUUUGAGUUGGUGCUUCCCUCCGGGCACGCCGGCCGUUACCUAACGAGGCUUCAUAGUCCAAGGCAGGGAGAAGAGGCAGCUGCUUUCUCACUGCUCAGCUGCUGCAAAGGUGUAGUUUAAACUUAUGUGUGGCCUCCAGAUUGGACCUUAGGGCCUGCGCCAGCGGGCGCUGUCGGGCAUUUCUGAGACUUGGUUUCUGGUUAAUCUCUUAAUCAGAAGCGUCCAGCACGGGAAACAUCAGAGGGGGACGCGCCCGGGGAAGGGAGGCUGCAGCCCCACAGACGGGCACAGCUCGGGCUGGGUUUUAUAACCUGGGCUGAAAGUUUGGAAAGUGGGGAGUUGGUUAGUUGAAGGGGAGUUGGUUAGUUGAAGGGGAGUUGGUUAGUUGAAGGGGAGUUGCCCAGAAGGUUGUAGAAGCCAGGAUAACCUGUGAUUUUUUUUUAUUAUUUUUUUUUUUUUUUUUUAAAUAAAACAGAAUCUUCAGCUGUCCGGGUUAGACUGAUGUUGCUUGGAGCGGGAGUCGCUUUGUCAGGCACUUCCCCAGUGCCGGGCUGGGAUGAAGUUGGCCGGGUGAGCAGUUUUGGUGACUGGUGAUGGUGGUGCUGGUGACGAGGGCAACCGCCAAAGCAAUGACGCGAGACCCUGCGCUCUGCCAGGUCACACGUGUGUGUUUCAGAAUUUAGUGAGCAUUUGGUGACACAGCCCCAACAGCAGGAACCGUUCUCCUCUGACCACUCCAUGGCAGCAUUCAAAGGCAUACAUAAAGACACUGCUUUUAUUUGCAACCUGGCAGAAUUAAAUUAUUUCUCUUUUUAACAGGUUGAUAGUAAUCCUGACUUUUCUAUGCAAAAUAAGAAACUUCAGGUUAGUAUGGAACAGGCUCAAAUAUUCCAUAAGAAAAAAAAAAGCAACAUAUACUCAAGAGGUUUUUGCCAAUAAAAUAUUGCAACCUUUAUUUAAAACAAAAUGCAAAUUGGCAAAACUUUGUGGAACGACAGGCAAAGAGGCCCUUCCAAGGGCCUUAUUUACAUCAAGUUUAACACUGUUCGCAGUUCACAGUCAGACGAUAGUGAGAGAAUUAAAUUAGAAAAACAACCAAAAUAUAUUACAAUAACAAUUAAAAACAAAAACA
Molecule: long non-coding RNA, 1827 nt
Organism: Tyto alba (common barn owl)
Lineage: Eukaryota; Metazoa; Chordata; Aves; Strigiformes; Tytonidae
Exons: 2
Source: RefSeq, a predicted model, not a curated record